This 498-nucleotide ribosomal RNA is filed under the name Klebsiella pneumoniae. RNAcentral describes it as "bacterial SSU rRNA". It matches the Rfam family "Bacterial small subunit ribosomal RNA", at positions 1035 to 1533 of the family's 1533-position model. The record is from RNAcentral. Lineage: Bacteria; Pseudomonadati; Pseudomonadota; Gammaproteobacteria; Enterobacterales; Enterobacteriaceae.
CAGGUGCUGCAUGGCUGUCGUCAGCUCGUGUUGUGAAAUGUUGGGUUAAGUCCCGCAACGAGCGCAACCCUUAUCCUUUGUUGCCAGCGGUUCGGCCGGGAACUCAAAGGAGACUGCCAGUGAUAAACUGGAGGAAGGUGGGGAUGACGUCAAGUCAUCAUGGCCCUUACGACCAGGGCUACACACGUGCUACAAUGGCAUAUACAAAGAGAAGCGACCUCGCGAGAGCAAGCGGACCUCAUAAAGUAUGUCGUAGUCCGGAUUGGAGUCUGCAACUCGACUCCAUGAAGUCGGAAUCGCUAGUAAUCGUAGAUCAGAAUGCUACGGUGAAUACGUUCCCGGGCCUUGUACACACCGCCCGUCACACCAUGGGAGUGGGUUGCAAAAGAAGUAGGUAGCUUAACCUUCGGGAGGGCGCUUACCACUUUGUGAUUCAUGACUGGGGUGAAGUCGUAACAAGGUAACCGUAGGGGAACCUGCGGUUGGAUCACCUCCUUA